AACGAACGCUGGCGGCGUGCCUAACACAUGCAAGUCGAGCGAGAAAGUCCCUUCGGGGGCGAGUAGAGCGGCGGACGGGUGAGUAAUACAUGGGUAAUCUACCUUCGAGGUCGGGAUAACCCUGCGAAAGCGGAGCUAAUACCGGAUAAGACCACAUGGCUGAGGCCACGGGGUAAAAGGUGGCUUGUAUUCGUACACGCUAUCACUUGAGGAUGGGCCCAUGGCCUAUCAGCUUGUUGGUGAGGUAAGAGCUCACCAAGGCUAUGACGGGUAGCUGGUCUGAGAGGACGACCAGCCACACUGGGACUGAGACACGGCCCAGACUCCUACGGGAGGCAG
This 339-nucleotide ribosomal RNA is filed under the name uncultured Pseudomonadota bacterium. RNAcentral describes it as "bacterial SSU rRNA". It matches the Rfam family "Bacterial small subunit ribosomal RNA", at positions 29 to 351 of the family's 1533-position model. Lineage: Bacteria; Pseudomonadati; Pseudomonadota. The record is from RNAcentral.